AUCAAAAGUGAGGAACAAUAUAUUUAUGUUGUGUUGUCAAUAGUAAGAGAAACAAUCGAGACCCUGCAAUCGCGUGUUAACGAGGCAGAAAGUCAGACGAGCGACCUGGGACUCGGUCACAAUUUUAGGGAUGCCACGUAGCAGGAAGAUCUACCACGGACGACACAUUACGCUUCCAAUAUUGUCCGCGGAGGUGGUAUCUACCCGUUUGGUUGCUGCCUAAGUAUGUAAGAUUUUCCAAUGGAAAGUGUAUGUUUGGCAAAUGUAUCCAGGUCUUUAGAGAAUGUACUCAGAUAUUUGGGUUAGUUGUCAAGGGUUCAUGUAUAAUUUGCAUGCCUAAUUGACUAUGUAUAUUUUUUAACCUUAAUUUUUCAUUUGCAGUCACCCGACGGGAGUCAGAAACGUCAUUUUUGUGCGGACCGGCGACUCGACGGACCCCGGGCGAGGAUGCCGCUCGAACCGCGGUUGCGGAGGAGCGCGCCGAUACGAGUCGGAGACGGCUCGUACAGUCGGCGCACGAGAGCGGUCCAGACGAAGACAUUCGGGAACCGAGGACGAAGACGCUCGUCAACUGCGGACGAAGACACCGGUCGACGCGCGAGGAAGAUGCUCCGGAACACGGGAAGAACGCCACACUCCCGAGUGCGGAAAGACACUCGUCGACGCAGAAGGAGACACGCAUCAAUGUCGUAUUGCGACGUGCCGGGCCAGCGUGAUUGUUUUAAAGACGAUUUAAUGUGUAAAAUGAAUGUACGUGUUGUUUGUAACGAUUGUUAUAAUGUUUGUAGUAUUGUUUUUAGAGACCGACUCUGCGAAGACGGAGGAAGUCGAUACAUGUCGAGAAUGAAUUUAUUGAAGAUGUUGCCUGUGAUCACUAGGUGUUUGCACUAAUUUGGGGAGAAGAUUACGAUCGUAGAACGUCACGGAAUGCGGCGCGCACGUCAUUUGUGGCGGGACGCAUCCG
Long non-coding RNA from Homarus americanus (American lobster), 964 nucleotides. RefSeq lists it as uncharacterized. The record is from RefSeq and is a predicted model, not a curated record. Lineage: Eukaryota; Metazoa; Arthropoda; Malacostraca; Decapoda; Nephropidae. The transcript is spliced from 2 exons.